Long non-coding RNA from Prosopis cineraria, 1302 nucleotides. RefSeq lists it as uncharacterized. The transcript has 3 exons. The record is from RefSeq and is a predicted model, not a curated record. NCBI's taxonomy places the organism in Eukaryota, Viridiplantae, Streptophyta, Magnoliopsida, Fabales, Fabaceae.
AGAGGCAUGCAGGCCCAUUAAUCAUAUAAGCCCAGACCUUACUUGACUAAUGAUUCAACACACUUUAAAUUUCAACACUUCUCCUCAAGUUAGGCCUGAAGAUAUUAAAAGUGCUUAAUUUAUACAUCAUAUUCUCGUAUAAUUUUUGACUAAGAGUAUAAUAAUCCAAAAUUUUUAAAUAAAACUAAAAUAUAAAAUAACAUUUUUAAUUGUAUUUACAUUAAUUUUAAAAAAAAUAAGAAAGAAUGUUGGUUUGGUGGCAUUUCAUUGAUAAUUUAUAUGCAUCAGGUACCAGGUUCAUAAGGUCAGAUUAUUCUUUUAAAAAGACAGAUUUUUUAUGUCGGUUUCAGCUUUGCAAAUUUAUUAUUUUGACCUCAAAAGCAAUCAGAUUUUUUUUUCUUUCUUGGACCAUUUUCUUUUCAUUUUCGUUAGUCCAACGGAAGCAGAAACAGAGGAUAGAGACGUGAGAGAGAGUGAGAUCCAGAUUUGAGCCUUCAUUCUCCUCCUUGCUUGGCUUUCAUCCUUCACCGGUGAGAGGUGUAUCGUCUUCCGCCGUUGCAAGGUGUCCCGACGAAGUGACUAUCGGCCUUCUCCCCUGUUGACCGUGGGUGUCGGAUCCUUCUCCCUCCUCUGUUCUUAGCGUCACCGGCGUGGGUGGCAAGGAUUCGACUUGCCACCACCUUCCUUUACCUACGCUUCACUUCGUUCAGGUUUUUCUGCCGUCUCCUUCUGCUCUUCUUCCCUGACUGCUGUAGUAGAUAAAAGACCAUUCCUCUUUUCCUCACCGACGUCGAUUGUGUGGGUUAGAGCUGAUCCUUUCUUCCAUCCGUGCACUGCUGUUAGUAUUGCCAUCGAGUCCCUCAUUCAUUGUCUUCCUCUGCUUUAAGGGCAGACUUUAUACAGAACACUGGUUGCUAAUGGAAGUUUCAUUAGCCCUUGGCGCGCUAUGGUACACCUAGCUAGCAGGGUGUUUAUAAGUGAUGCUAGCCCCAUGUGAUGGCCAACGCACGUGGAAUGGAGAUAUCAUAGCCGAUUUCGUACUCCUUGCUGAUCUCUGAUAGACUCGUUGAUGAAUUGAUCAGAAGAUUACUUUUGAGAACAUCAUCUUAUUCAUGUAAAAUUCAAAAACUUAUGUAGGAUCUUUUGGAAGUUCGAUUUAAAGUGCUCCACAUCAACUAUAGUCAGGGUUUUGAUUUUUUUUGUUAAUUACUUGUUGCUAAGGAGCAAAGCUCUAUAUUGUUCAAUAUGUGAUGUAAAUUUUUUGUUAUAGGGAUUUCAGAGGACUCUACCUUUAGGGGAUGU